AUGACGGGAACAGCUGUAAAUCCUUUGUUUCGAGCUGCAUACUUGGCUAAAUCUUCCAAGCAAUAUGUAACCUUGAUGGUGCCCUGGCUUUGCAAGUCAGACCAAGAGCUCGUCUAUCCGAAUAACAUGACUUUUAGUUCUCCAGAAGACCAAGAAACUUAUAUAAGGAAUUGGCUGGAGGAAAGAGUUGGAUUUAAAACCGACUUCAGAAUAUCAUUCUAUCCUGGAAAGUUUCAGAAAGAAAGGAGAAGUAUAAUUCCUGCUGGGGACACUUCACAAUUUAUACCAUCAAAGGAAGCUGACAUUGCAAUUCUGGAAGAGCCUGAGCACCUGAACUGGUACCAUCAUGGAAAGCGUUGGACUGAUAAAUUUAAUCAUGUCGUCGGUGUUGUGCAUACAAAUUACUUGGAGUAUAUCAAGAGAGAGAAGAAUGGUGCUAUUCAAGCUUUUUUUGUCAAGCACAUUAACAACCUUGUUGCCAGAGCUUAUUGCCAUAAGGUUUUGCGACUAUCUGGGGCUACUCAAGAUCUAGCCAGAUCCAUGAUCUGCAAUGUACAUGGUGUUAAUCCCAAGUUUCUGGAGGUUGGGGAGAGAAUAGCAGCAGAGAGGGAAUCUGGCGAGCAGUCCAUGUCCAAAGGAGCUUAUUUUCUGGGGAAGAUGGUCUGGGCCAAAGGCUACAGAGAACUGAUAGAUUUGCUUGCGAAGCACAAGACGGAUUUGGACGGUUUCAAACUGGACGUCUAUGGAAACGGUGAAGAUUCAGUAGAAGUGCAAUCAGCUGCCAAGAAGCUGGAUUUAAAUCUUAACUUCCAUAAAGGCCGAGAUCAUGCAGACGAUUCUCUUCAUGGGUACAAGGUUUUUGUAAACCCGAGCAUUAGUGAUGUCCUCUGCACCGCCACUGCUGAGGCACUAGCCAUGGGCAAGUUUGUGGUCUGUGCGGAUCACCCAUCCAAUGAUUUCUUCAGAUCAUUCCCAAACUGCCUGACGUACACGACGUCAGAGGAUUUUGUUGCCAAAGUGAAGGAAGCAAUGACCCGCGAUCCCCAGCCCCUCACACCUGAGCAGCGGUACAACCUUUCGUGGGAGGCUGCGACCCAGAGGUUCAUGGAGCACUCAGAACUGGACAAGGUCCUGAGCAGCAAUGGUGAUUCUGCCAGCACCUCUGGAAGCAGCGUCGAUAGGAGGAUGAAGAAAUCAGCCUCAUUGCCAAACAUGUCGGACAUCGUGGAUGGCGGCCUAGCAUUUGCCCACUACUGCUUCACGGGCAGCGAGCUCCUCCGGCUGUCGACUGGGGCGGUGCCCGGGACCCUGAACUACAAUAAGCAACAUAGCGUGGACAUGCACCUGCUGCCCCCUCAGGUACAGAAUCCUGUAUAUGGCUGGUAA
Molecule: ribosomal RNA, 1386 nt
Filed under: Triticum aestivum (bread wheat)
Lineage: Eukaryota; Viridiplantae; Streptophyta; Magnoliopsida; Poales; Poaceae
Description: partial small subunit ribosomal RNA
Source: RNAcentral